GGAGGGAUGGCUGAGCCCGGUUUAAGGCGCUCGAUUCGAAAUCGAGUGUAGAGCAAUCUACCGUGGGUUCGAAUCCCACUCCCUCCGCCA
RNAcentral lists this transfer RNA (90 nucleotides) under Verrucomicrobiales bacterium. RNAcentral describes it as "tRNA-Ser". It matches the Rfam family "tRNA". From Rfam's summary of the family: Transfer RNA (tRNA) molecules are approximately 80 nucleotides in length. Their secondary structure includes four short double-helical elements and three loops (D, anti-codon, and T loops). The record is from RNAcentral. Lineage: Bacteria; Pseudomonadati; Verrucomicrobiota; Verrucomicrobiia; Verrucomicrobiales.